UGACUGCGUACCUUUUGUAUAAUGGGUCAGCGACUUAUAUUCUGUAGCAAGGUUAACCGAAUAGGGGAGCCGGAGGGAAACCGAGUCUUAACCGGGCGUUAAGUUGCAGGGUAUAGACCCGAAACCCGGUGAUCUAGCCAUGGGCAGGUUGAAGGUUGGGUAACACUAACUGGAGGACCGAACCGACUAAUGUUGAAAAAUUAGCGGAUGACCUGUGGCUGGGGGUGAAAGGCCAAUCAAACCGGGAGAUAGCUGGUUCUCCCCGAAAGCUAUUUAGGUAGCGCCUCGUGAAUUCAUCUCCGGGGGUAGAGCACUGUUUCGGCUAGGGGGCCAUCCCGGCUUACCAACCCGAUGCAAACUGCGAAUACCGGAGAAUGUUAUCACGGGAGACACACGGCGGGUGCUAACGUCCGUCGUGAAGAGGGAAACAACCCAGACCGCCAGCUAAGGUCCCAAAGUCAUGGUUAAGUGGGAAACGAUGUGGGAAGGCCCAGACAGCCAGGAUGUUGGCUUAGAAGCAGCCAUCAUUUAAAGAAAGCGUAAUAGCUCACUGGUCGAGUCGGCCUGCGCGGAAGAUGUAACGGGGCUAAACCAUGCACCGAAGCUGCGGCAGCGACACUGUGUGUUGUUGGGUAGGGGAGCGUUCUGUAAGCCUGUGAAGGUGUGUCGUGAGGCAUGCUGGAGGUAUCAGAAGUGCGAAUGCUGACAUAAGUAACGAUAAAGCGGGUGAAAAGCCCGCUCGCCGGAAGACCAAGGGUUCCUGUCCAACGUUAAUCGGGGCAGGGUGAGUCGACCCCUAAGGCGAGGCCGAAAGGCGUAGUCGAUGGGAAACGGGUUAAUAUUCCCGUACUUGGUGUUACUGCGAAGGGGGGACGGAGAAGGCUAUGUUGGCCGGGCGACGGUUGUCCCGGUUUAAGCGUGUAGGUGUGUGUUCCAGGUAAAUCCGGUUCACUUUAACACUGAGGCGUGACGACGAGGCACUACGGUGCUGAAGCAACAAAUGCCCUGCUUCCAGGAAAAGCCUCUAAGCAUCAGGUAACAUCAAAUCGUACCCCAAACCGACACAGGUGGUCAGGUAGAGAAUACCAAGGCGCUUGAGAGAACUCGGGUGAAGGAACUAGGCAAAAUGGUGCCGUAACUUCGGGAGAAGGCACGCUGACACGUAGGUGAAGUGAUUUACUCAUGGAGCUGAAGUCAGUCGAAGAUACCAGCUGGCUGCAACUGUUUAUUAAAAACACAGCACUGUGCAAACACGAAAGUGGACGUAUACGGUGUGACGCCUGCCCGGUGCCGGAAGGUUAAUUGAUGGGGUCAGCGCAAGCGAAGCUCCUGAUCGAAGCCCCGGUAAACGGCGGCCGUAACUAUAACGGUCCUAAGGUAGCGAAAUUCCUUGUCGGGUAAGUUCCGACCUGCACGAAUGGCGUAAUGAUGGCCAGGCUGUCUCCACCCGAGACUCAGUGAAAUUGAACUCGCUGUGAAGAUGCAGUGUACCCGCGGCAAGACGGAAAGACCCCGUGAACCUUUACUAUAGCUUGACACUGAACAUUGAGCCUUGAUGUGUAGGAUAGGUGGGAGGCUUUGAAGUGUGGACGCCAGUCUGCAUGGAGCCGACCUUGAAAUACCACCCUUUAAUGUUUGAUGUUCUAACGUGGACCCGUUACCCGGGUUGCGGACAGUGUCUGGUGGGUAGUUUGACUGGGGCGGUCUCCUCCUAAAGAGUAACGGAGGAGCACGAAGGUUGGCUAAUCCUGGUCGGACAUCAGGAGGUUAGUGCAAUGGCAUAAGCCAGCUUGACUGCGAGCGUGACGGCGCGAGCAGGUGCGAAAGCAGGUCAUAGUGAUCCGGUGGUUCUGAAUGGAAGGGCCAUCGCUCAACGGAUAAAAGGUACUCCGGGGAUAACAGGCUGAUACCGCCCAAGAGUUCAUAUCGACGGCGGUGUUUGGCACCUCGAUGUCGGCUCAUCACAUCCUGGGGCUGAAGUAGGUCCCAAGGGUAUGGCUGUUCGCCAUUUAAAGUGGUACGCGAGCUGGGUUUAGAACGUCGUGAGACAGUUCGGUCCCUAUCUGCCGUGGGCGCUGGAGAACUGAGGGGGGCUGCUCCUAGUACGAGAGGACCGGAGUGGACGCAUCACUGGUGUUCGGGUUGUCAUGCCAAUGGCACUGCCCGGUAGCUAAAUGCGGAAGAGAUAAGUGCUGAAAGCAUCUAAGCACGAAACUUGCCCCGAGAUGAGUUCU
Molecule: ribosomal RNA, 2234 nt
Filed under: Salmonella enterica
Lineage: Bacteria; Pseudomonadati; Pseudomonadota; Gammaproteobacteria; Enterobacterales; Enterobacteriaceae
Also listed under: 17 other names
Description: bacterial LSU rRNA
Rfam family: Bacterial large subunit ribosomal RNA
Source: RNAcentral